RNAcentral lists this ribosomal RNA (274 nucleotides) under uncultured bacterium. Its description in RNAcentral is "partial 16S ribosomal RNA". It matches the Rfam family "Bacterial small subunit ribosomal RNA", at positions 523 to 796 of the family's 1533-position model. The record is from RNAcentral.
AUACGAAGGGGGCUAGCGUUGUUCGGAAUUACUGGGCGUAAAGCGCGCGUAGGCGGACUGAUCAGUUGGGGGUGAAAUCCCAGGGCUUAACCCUGGAACUGCCUCCAAUACUGUCAGUCUUGAGUUCGGGAGAGGUGAGUGGAAUUCCUAGUGUAGAGGUGAAAUUCGUAGAUAUUAGGAAGAACACCAGUGGCGAAGGCGGCUCACUGGCCCGAUACUGACGCUGAGGCGCGAAAGCGUGGGGAGCAAACAGGAUUAGAUACCCUAGUAGUCC